GGGGAUGUAACUCAGUGGUAGAGUGCUUGCCUAGCAAGCAAGCACAAAUCCCUGGAUUCAAUCCCU
This 66-nucleotide transfer RNA is filed under the name Ictidomys tridecemlineatus (thirteen-lined ground squirrel). RNAcentral describes it as "Spermophilus tridecemlineatus (thirteen-lined ground squirrel) tRNA". It matches the Rfam family "tRNA". Rfam says of the family: Transfer RNA (tRNA) molecules are approximately 80 nucleotides in length. Their secondary structure includes four short double-helical elements and three loops (D, anti-codon, and T loops). Further hydrogen bonds mediate the characteristic L-shaped molecular structure. tRNAs have two regions of fundamental functional importance: the anti-codon, which is responsible for specific mRNA codon recognition, and the 3' end, to which the tRNAs corresponding amino acid is attached (by aminoacyl-tRNA synthetases). tRNAs cope with the degeneracy of the genetic code in two manners: having more than one tRNA (with a specific anti-codon) for a particular amino acid; and 'wobble' base-pairing, i.e. permitting non-standard base-pairing at the 3rd anti-codon position. RNAcentral also lists the same sequence under 1 other name. Lineage: Eukaryota; Metazoa; Chordata; Mammalia; Rodentia; Sciuridae. The record is from Rfam by way of RNAcentral.